UUCUUAUCCACCACCAGCCGCCGCCACGGCCAGGCCGGCGUGGUGGUGCGCCUCCGCGCGCCACCAGCACCUCCACCAUCACCCUGCGCUUCCCAUCAAUCCAUCAUCCAACCCGCCAGCACCAACAUCCACCACGCACCACCACAACCAACCACACCAUCCGUCGGCGCCGCCAGCCACGACCAUCUCCUUCCACCCAGCGCCAGCAACCUCCAUCCACCAGUGCAACCGCGCCUCCUCUCCCUGUUGCUUCCCCUUGCUACUCACACCUCCUCUCCCUGCUGCUUCCCCUUGCUACUCACGCCCUGGACCAGACAAGGGGAUCAUGGAGUCUGAUCCCUAGCGAACUUCCCUACUGCUGCGCCUUUACCUUCAACCUACUGCUGCUCUUCUUUCCCCAUGCCUCCGCUGCUCCUUCUCCAUCUCCGUGCUGCUUCUCUCUUCUUUCCUCACGCCUCUGCUACAAGCUGCUGCUCCUUCUCUGAACCAACUGCUGGCUGGUAUUACUUCUCCCCAAAUCUGCCGCUGCUCCUCUUCUUUUGCUGCACCUUUUCUCAAACGCCCCUGCUGCUCCUAAUCUGAACCAUAAACUGUUGCUAUCUCUCUUUGCCGUCUCCAUAUUCUCUGAAUUUCUGUAAUAGGAGAUGUGUAAUGCAUGUCAUAUAUCUUGUUUACUAUAUAAUAUUUGAAAUUUCUAUAAUUUGAGAAGUAAGAAGACUUGUAAUAUUUCAUAUUUUGAUAAGUGUUUGCAACCAACUUAUUUGUUCAGUUUCAUACCUGUAUAAUAAAGACUUGUUUUGUUGGAUCUGACUAGUUGAGGCCUUGUUAAUUAGGGAGAUAAUUGAUCUAUUAGAAUUUGCUUCUGUGUAUUUCUAUUUUGCUAGCAUAUUAUUGUGUUCACCCCUGUGUAUUUGUUCCUUAUUGCAGAAAUUUAUUCAGUUCUCCAUGUGUUAGCUCCAGUACAUGUGCUAUAUAAAUAUGAGUGUGUUUGUGAUGUGAAAAAUCUAUCUUCUAUCCUAUAUUCAUGUUUCUUCCCUCUUUCAUACGCUUGUUAGAUACAUAUAUGUGUUCAUAUCCUGCUGUUUCCUUUGUGUUAGCAUUUUAGUUUCUCAAGUAAUAGGAAACCACCAAAAAAAGACAAUAUAGACAAUCUGAACCUCCCCUUUGCUUAUUUUACAUUUUCUUUGGCGAUGAUCUUCGGGAACUACCUUGUUUAGUUUAGGUUUAUUUUCUUGCAUUUAUAAUCUGAGUUGUGUUACCUAGCUUUAUCUAAGCACGAUCAUUGACUUUCCAAGUCCCUGUGGAGAACACGACACUCGCAGUUUGGGCGUAAAAACCCCACUACACUUCAAUUCAUCAUUUUGGCGCCGUUGCCGGGGACUAGUUGUUGGGGAACGUUGCAGAAAACAAAAAUUUUCCUACUUGUUUCACCAAGAUCAUCUAGGAGUUCAUCUAGCAACGAGUGAUUAGAUGCAUCUACAUACCUUUGUAGAUCGCGAGCGGAAGCGUUCAAAAGAACGGUGACGAUGUAGUCGUACUCGACGUGAUCCAAAUCACAGAUGACCAGCGCCGAACGGACGGCACCUCCGCGUUCAACACACGUACGGAACAGCCACGUCUCCUCCUUCUUGAUCCAGCAAGGGAGGGAGGAGAGGUUGAGGGAGAUGGCACCAGCAGCAGCACGACGGCGUGGUGUUGAUGGAGCUGCAGUACUCCGGCAGAGCUUCGCUAAGCACUAUGGAGGUGGAGGAGGUGUUGGGAGGGAGAAGGAGGCAACCAAAGGCCAAGGCGUUCAGGUAUGAAGUCCCUCCUCUCCCCCACUAUAUAUAGGAGGGCCAAGGGGGGGUGGCCGGCCCUAGGAGAUCCAAUCUCCUAGGGGGUGCGGCGGCCAAGGCGGGUUUCCCUCCCCCCCCAAGGCACCUAGGAGGUGCCAUCCCCUCCUAGGACUCUUUCCCCCUUAAACCCUAGGCGCAUGGGCCUAUGUGGGGCUGGUGCCCUUGGCCCAUGUAGGCCAAGGCGCACCCCCUACAGACCAUGUGGCCCCCCGGGACAGGUGGACCCACCCGGUGGACCCCCGGGACCCUUCCGGUGGUCCCGGUACAAUACCGAUAACCCCGAAACUUGUCCCGAUGCCCGAAACAGGAUUUCCCAUAUAUAAAUCUUUACAUCCGGACCAUUCCGGAACUCCUCGUGACGUCCGGGAUCUCAUCCGGGACUCCGAACAAUAUUCGGGUUACUGCAUAUACAUAUCCCUACAACCCUAGCGUAACUGAACCUUAAGUGUGUAGACCCUACGGGUUCGGGAGACAAGCAUACAUGACCGAGACGACUCUCCGGUCAAUAACCAACAGCGGGAUCUGGAUACCCAUGUUGGCUCCCACAUGCUCCACGAUGAUCUCAUCGGAUGAACCACGAUGUCGAGGAUUCUAUCAACCCCGUACGCUAUUCCCUUUGUCUAUCGAUAUGUUACUUGCCCGAGAUUCGAUCGUCGGUAUCCCAAUACCUCGUUCAAUCUUGUUACCGGCAAGUCACUUUACUCAUACCGUAAUGCAUGAUCCCGUGACCAGACACUUGGUCACUCUGAGCUCAUUAUGAUGAUGCAUUACCGAGUGGGCCCAGUGAUACCUCUCCGUCAUACAAAGUGACAAAUCCCAGUCUUGAUCCAUGUCACCCAACAGACACUUUCGGAGAUACCCGUAGUCUACCUUUAUAGUCACCCAGUUACGUUGUGACGUUUGGCAUACCCAAAGCACUCUUACGGUAUCCGGGAGUUACACGAUCUCAUGGUCUAAGGAAAAGAUACUUGACAUUGGAAAACUCUAGCAAACGAACUAUACGAUCUUGUGCUAUGUUUAGGAUUGGGUCUUGUCCAUCACAUCAUUCUCCUAAUGAUGUGAUCUCGUUAUCAAUGACAUCCAGUGUCCAUAGUCAGGAAACCAUGACUAUCUGUUGAUCAACGAGCUAGUCAACUAGAGGCUCACUAGGGACAUGUUGAUGUCUGUUAUUCACACAUGUAUUACGAUUUCCGGAUAACACAAUUAUAGCAUGAAUAAAGACAAUUAUCAUGAACAAGGAAAUAUAAUAAUAAUGCUUUUAUUAUUGCCUCUAGGGCAUAUUUCCAACAGUCUCCCACUUGCACUAGAGUCAAUAAUCUAGUUACAUUGUGAUGAAUCGAACACCCAUGGAAUUCUGGUGUUGAUCAUGUUUUGCUCUAGGGAGAGGUUUAGUCAACGGAUCUGCUACAUUUAGGUCCGUAUGUACUUUACAAAUCUCUAUGUCUCCAUCUUGAACAUUUUCACGAAUGGAGUUGAAGCGACGCUUGAUGUGCCUUGUCUUCUUGUGAAACCUGGGCUCCUUGGCAAGUGCAAUAGCUCCAGUGUUGUCACAGAAGAGCUUGAUCGGCCCCGACGCAUUGGGUAUGACUCCUAGGUCGGUGAUGAACUCCUUCACCCAUACUGCUUCAUGUGCUGCCUCCGAGGCUGCCAUGUACCCCGCUUCACAUGUAGAUCCCGCCACGACGCUUUGCUUGCAACUGCACCAGCUUACUGCCCCACCAUUCAAAAUAUACACGUAUCCGGUUUGUGACUUAGAGUCAUCCAGAUCUGUGUCGAAGCUAGCGUCGACGUAACCCUUUACGACGAGCUCUUCGUCACCUCCAUAAACGAGAAACAUUUCCUUAGUCCUUUUCAGGUACUUCAGGAUAUUCUUGACCGCUGUCCAGUGUUCCUUGCCGGGAUUACUUUGGUACCUUCCUACCAAACUUACGGCAAGGUUUACAUCAGGUCUGGUACACAGCAUAGCAUACAUAAUAGAACCUAUGGCUGAGGCAUAGGGGAUGACGCUCAUCUCUUCUAUAUCUUCUGCCGUGGUCGGACAUUGAGCUGAGCUCAAUUUCAUACCUUGCAACACAGGCAAGAACCCCUUCUUGGAUUGAUCCAUAUUGAACUUCUUCAAUAUCUUAUCAAGGUAUGUGCUUUGUGAAAGACCCAUGAGGCGUCUCGAUCUAUCUCUAUAGAUUUUGAUGCCUAAUAUAUAAGCAGCUUCUCCAAGGUCCUUCAUUGAAAAACUUUUAUUCAAGUAGGCCUUGAUGCUGUCCAAGAGUUCUAUAUCAUUUCCCAUCAAAAGUAUGUCAUCUACAUAUAAUAUGAGAAAUGCUACAGAGCUCCCACUCACUUUCUUGUAAACGCAGGCUUCUCCAUAAGUCUGUGUAAACCCAAACGCUUUGAUCAUCUCAUCAAAGCGAAUGUUCCAACUCCGAGAUGCUUGCACCAGCCCAUAAAUCGAGCGUUGGAGCUUGCACACUUUGUCAGCAUUCUUAGGAUCGACAAAACCUUCCGGCUGUAUCAUAUACAAUUCUUCCUUAAGGAAACCAUUAAGGAAUGCCGUUUUGACGUCCAUUUGCCAUAUUUCGUAAUGCGGCAAUUGCUAACAUGAUUCGGACGGACUUCAGCUUCGCUACCGGUGAGAAAGUCUCAUCGUAGUCAACCCCUUGAACUUGUCGAUAACCCUUAGCGACAAGCCGAGCUUUAUAGAUGGUCACAUUACCAUCCGCGUCUGUCUUCUUCUUAAAGAUCCAUUUAUUUUCUAUGGCUCGCCGCUCAACGGGCAAGUCAGUCAAAGUCCAUACUUUGUUUUCAUACAUGGAUCCUAUCUCGGAUUUCAUGGCUUCCAGCCAUUUGUCGGAAUCCGGGCCCGCCAUCGCUUCUUCAUAGUUCGAAGGUUCACGAUUGUCUAACAGCAUGAUUUCCAAGACAGGGUUGCCGUACCACUCUGGUGCGGAACGUGUCCUUGUGGACCUUCGAAUUUCAGUAGGGGCUUGAUCAGAAGUAUCUUGAUCAUUUUCAUUAACUUCCUCUCUAGUCGGUGCAGGCACCUCAGGAACAUUUUCUUGAGUUGCGCCAUUUUCCGGUUCAAGAGGUAAUACUUCAUCAAGCUCUACUUUCCUCCCACUUACUUCUUUCGAGAGAAACUCUUUCUCCAGAAAGGACCCAUUCUUGGCAACAAAGAUCUUGCCUUCGGAUCUGAGGUAGAAGGUGUACCCAAUAGUUUCUUUUGGGUAUCCUAUGAAGACGCAUUUUUCCGACUUGGGUUCGAGCUUUUCAGGUUGAAGUUUCUUGACAUAAGCAUCGCAUCCCCAAACUUUUAGAAACGACAGCUUAGGUUUCUUCCCAAACCAUAAUUCAUACGGUGUCGUCUCAACGGAUUUCGACGGAGCCCUAUUUAAAGUGAAUGCGGCAGUCUCUAAAGCAUAGCCCCAAAAAGAAAGCGGUAAAUCGGUAAGAGACAUCAUAGAUCGCACCAUAUCUAACAGAGUGCGAUUACGACAUUCGGACACACCAUUACGCUGAGGUGUUCCAGGCGGCGUGAGUUGUGAAACUAUUCCACAUUUUCUUAAGUGUGCCCCAAACUCGUGACUCAAGUAUUCUCCUCCACGAUCUGAUCGUAGAAACUUGAUUUUCCUGUCACGUUGAUUUUCAACCUCACUCUGAAAUUCCUUGAACUUUUCAAAGGUUUUAGACUUGUGUUUCAUUAAGUAGAUAUACCCAUACCUACUUAAAUCAUCAGUGAGGGUGAGAACAUAACGAUAGCCACCGCGAGCCUCAACACUCAUUGGACCGCACACAUCAGUAUGUAUGAUUUCCUAUAAGUCGGUUGCUCGCUCCAUUGUUCCUGAGAACGGAGUCUUGGUCAUUUUACCCAUAAGGCAUGGUUCGCAUGUGUCAAAUGAUUCAUAAUCAAGAGACUCUAAAAGUCCAUCAGCAUGGAGCUUCUUCAUGCGUUUGACACCUAUGUGACCAAGGCGGCAGUGCCACAGGUAUGUGGGACUAUCAUUAUCAACCUUACUUCUUUUGGUACUCACACUAUGAACAUGUGUAGCAUCAUGUUCGAGAUUCAUAAAGAACAAACCAUUCACCAUAGGAGCAUGACCAUAAAACAUAUCUCUCAUAAAAAUGGAACAACCAUUAUUCUCAGAUUUAAAAGAGUAGCCAUCUCGAAUUAAACGAGAUCCUGAUACAAUGUUCAUGCUCAAAGCUGGCACUAAAUAACAAUUAUUAAGGUUUAAAACUAAUCCCGAAGGGAGAUGCAGAGGUAGCGUGCCGACGGCGAUCACAUUGACCUUGGAACCAUUCCCGACGCGCAUCGUCACCUCGUCCUUUGCCAGUUUCCGCUUACUCCGCAGCCCCUGCUUUGAGUUACAAAUGUGAGCAACUGCACCGGUAUCAAAUACCCAGGAGCCACUACGGGCACUAGUAAGGUACACAUCAAUUACAUGUAUAUCACAUAUACCUUUCGUUUUGCCGGCCUUCUUAUCCGCUAAGUACUUAGGGCAGUUCCGCUUCCAGUGACCGCUUCCCUUGCAAUAAAAGCACUCAGUCUCGGGCUUGGGUCCAUUCUUUGGCUUCUUCCCGGCAGCUUGCUUGCCGGGCGCGGCAACCUCCUUGCCGUCCUUCUUGAAGUUCUUUUUACCCUUGCCUUUCUUGAACUUAGUGGUUUUACUGACGAUCAACACUUGAUGUUCCUUCCUGACUUCUACCUCUGCUGAUUUCAGCAUAGCAAAUACUUCAGGAAUGGUCUUUUCCAUCCCCUGCAUAUUGAAGUUCAUCACAAAGCUCUUGUAGCUUGGUGGAAGCGACUGGAGGAUUCUGUCAAUGACCGCAUCAUCCGGGAGAUUAACUCCCAGCUGAGUCAAGCGGUUAUGCAACCCAGACAUAGUGAGUAUGUGCUCACUGACAGAACUGUUUUCCUCCAUCUUACAGCUGAAGAAUUUGUCGAAGACUUCAUAUCUCUCGACCCGGGCAUGAGCUUGGAAAACCAUUUUCAGCUCUUCGAACAUCUCAUAUGCUCCAUGUCUCUCAAAACGCUUUUGGAGCCCUGGCUCUAGGCUGUAAAGCAUGCCGCACUGAACAAGGGAGUAGUCAUCGAAACGUGCCUGCCAAGCGUUCAUAACAUCUUGUUCUGCAGGGAGAACGGGUGCGUCACCAAGCGGUGCUUGUAGGACAUAAUCUUUCUUGGCAGCUAUGAGGAUGAUCCUCAGGUUCCGGACCCAGUCCGUAUAGUUGCUGCCAUCGUCUUUCAGCUUAGUUUUCUCUAGGAACGCGUUGAAGUUGAGGACUACGUUGGCCGUUUGAUCUACAAGACAUAUUGCAAAGAUUUUAGACUAAGUUCAUGAUAAUUAAGUUCAACUAAUCAAAUUAUUAGUGAACUCCCACUUAGAUUAGACAUCCCUCUAGUCAUCUAAGUAUUACAUGAUCCGAGUUAAACUAGACCGUGUCCGAUCAUCACGUGAGACGGACUAGUCAACAUCGGUGAACAUCUUCAUGUUGAUCGUAUCUUCUAUACGACUCAUGCUCGACCUUUCGGUCUUCUGUGUUCCGAGGCGAUGUCUAUACAUGCUAGGCUCAUCAAGUCAACCUAAGUGUUUGCAUGUGUAAAUCUGUCUUACACCCGUUGUAUGUGAACGUCUGAAUAAAACACCCGAUCAUCACGUGGUGUUUUGAAACAGCGAACUGUCGCAACGGCGCACAGUUAGGGGGAACACUUCUUGAAUUUAUUGUGAGGGAUCAUCUUAUUUACUACCGUCGUUCUAAGUAAACAAGAUGCAAAACAUGAUAAACAUCACAUGCAAUCAAAUAAUAAACGUGACAUGAUAUGGCCAAUAUCACAUAGCUCCUUUGAUCUCCAUCUUGGGGCUCCAUGAUCAUCUUGUCACCGGCUUGACACCAUGAUCUCCAUCAUCAUGAUCUCCAUCAUCGUGUCUCCAUGAAGUUGCUCGCCAACUAUUACUUCUACUACUAUGGCUAACGCGUUUAGCAAUAAAGUAAAGUAAUUUACAUGGCGUUUCUUGAUGACACGCAGGUCAUUAAAAGAAUAAAGACAACUCCUAUGGCUCCUGCCGGUUGUCAUACUCAUCGACAUGCAAGUCGUGAAUCCUAUUACAAUAGCAUGAACAUCUCAUACAUCACAUAUAGAUCAUUCAUCAUUCAUCACAACUUUGGCCAUAUCAUAUCACAAACCACUUGCUGCAAAAACAAGUUAGACGUCCUCUAAUUGUUGUUGCAAGUUUUACGUGGCUGAAUUAGGGUUCUAGCAAGAAUGUUUUCUUACCUACGUUAAAGCCACAACAUGAUUUGUCAACUUCUAUUUACCCUUCAUAAGGACCCUGUUCAUCGAUUCCGCUCCAACUAAAGUAGGAGAGACAGACACCCGCCAGCCACCUUAUGCAACUAGUGCAUGUUAGUCGGUGGAACCGGUCUCACGUAAGCGUACGUGUAAGGUUGGUCCAGGCCGCUUCAUCCCACAAUACCGCUGAAGCAAGAAAGGACUAGUAACGGCAAGAAAGUUGACAAAUCUACGCCCACAACAAAUUGUGUUCUACUCGCGCAAGAAGAACUACGCAUAGACCUAGCUCAUGAUGCCACUGUUGGGGAACGUUGCAGAAAACAAAAAUUUUCCUACUCGUUUCACCAAGAUCAUCUAGGAGUUCAUCUAGCAACGAGUGAUUAGAUGCAUCUACAUACCUUUGUAGAUCGCGAGCGGAAGCGUUCAAAAGAACGGUGAUGAUGUAGUCGUACUCGACGUGAUCCAAAUCACCGAUGACCAGCGCCGAACGGACGGCACCUGCGCGUUCAACACACGUAUGGAACAGCCACGUCUCCUCCUUCUUGAUCCAGCAAGGGAGGGAGGAGAGGUUGAGGGAGAUGGCACCAGCAGCAGCACGACGGCGUGGUGUUGAUGGAGCUGCAGUACUCCGGCAGAGCUUCGCUAAGCACUAUGGAGGUGGAGGAGGUGUUGGGAGGGAGAAGGAGGCAACCAAAGGCCAAGGCGUUCAGGUAUGAAGUCCCUCCUCUCCCCCACUAUAUAUAGGAGGGCCAAGGGGGGGUGGCCGGCCCUAGGAGAUCCAAUCUCCUAGGGGGUGCGGCGGCCAAGGGGGGUUUCCCUCCCCCCCAAGGCACCUAGGAGGUGCCAUCCCCUCCUAGGACUCUUUCCCCCUUAAACCCUAGGCGCAUGGGCCUAUGUGGGGCUGGUGCCCUUGGCCCAUGUAGGCCAAGGCGCACCCCCUACAGCCCAUGUGGCCCCCCGGGACAGGUGGACCCACUCGAUGGACCCCCGGGACCCUUCCGGUGGUCCCGGUACAAUACCGAUAACCCCGAAACUUGUCCUGAUGCCCGAAACAGGACUUCCCAUAUAUAAAUCUUUACCUCCGGACCAUUCCGGAACUCCUCGUGACGUCCGGGAUCUCAUCCGGGACUCCGAACAAUAUUCGGGUUACUGCAUAUACAUAUCCCUACAACCCUAGCGUAACUGAACCUUAAGUGUGUAGACCCUACGGGUUCGGGAGACAAGCAGACAUGACCGAGACGACUCUCCGGUCAAUAACCAACAGCGGGAUCUGGAUACCCAUGUUGGAUCCCACAUGCUCCACGAUGAUCUCAUCGGAUGAACCACGAUGUCGAGGAUUCUAUCAACCCCGUACGCUAUUCCCUUUGUCUAUCGAUAUGUUACUUGCCCGAGAUUCGAUCGUCGGUAUCCCAAUACCUCGUUCAAUCUCGUUACCGGCAAGUCACUUUACUCGUACCGUAAUGCAUGAUCCCGUGACCAGACACUUGGUCACUCUGAGCUCAUUAUGAUGAUGCAUUACCGAGUGGGCCCAGUGAUACCUCUCCGUCAUACGGAGUGACAAAUCCCAGUCUUGAUCCAUGUCACCCAACAGACACUUUCGGAGAUACCCGUAGUCUACCUUUAUAGUCACCCAGUUACGUUGUGACGUUUGGCAUACCCAAAGCACUCUUACGGUAUCCGGGAGUUACACGAUCUCAUGGUCUAAGGAAAAGAUACUUGACAUUGGAAAACUCUAGCAAACGAACUAUACGAUCUUGUGCUAUGUUUAGGAUUGGGUCUUGUCCAUCACAUCAUUCUCCUAAUGAUGUGAUCUCGUUAUCAAUGACAUCCAGUGUCCAUAGUCAGGAAACCAUGACUACCUGUUGAUCAACGAGCUAGUCAACUAGAGGCUCACUAGGGACAUGUUGAUGUCUGUUAUUCACACAUGUAUUACGAUUUCCGGAUAACACAAUUAUAGCAUGAAUAAAGACAAUUAUCAUGAACAAGGAAAUAUAAUAAUAAUGCUUUUAUUAUUGCCUCUAGGGCAUAUUUCCAACACUAGUGUCGAGUGACCGUGUUAGGCUAUAGACUAGGUUUUUCUUCUUUUUCUAUUUUGUGCCAUAUAUUUGUGAUAUAUCUCUAACUCCUAACCCUUGUUCCAGAUUAUUUCCUCUUUGUUUUCUUUUCCUUUUUGCAGGUUAGAACCAUCUUGUCGGAUAUGGCUUACUAUUCAGAUCAUCAUGCUUAUGCGAGCAACACUACAAACAGCACAGAAAGUAUUCAAGAACUGAUAUGUAAGAUUUCCCAUCAAUUAGAUGAUUUAGCUCGCCAGUGAGAGGUAGUUUUCGAGGAUAGGCCUAGCUCUUAUGAUCCUUAUUAUAGAGGUCAUCCUUAUGUUGCUCCUACAUGCCAUAUUUGUGGAUUUCAGGGCCAUUCACCCGCUGAAUGUGAGCGUGGUUACUCUCACCCUCCCGAUUGUUAUGGCAUGAGCUUCGCCCCACAGCCUAGCUCAUACCAAAACAAUUGCACACAUGGGUGGCCUGAAAACUAGAAUAUGUCAUAUAGGAGCAAUAACCCUGAGAUCUCAUCGUUUGCCUCUAGUUAUCCAAUGCAGGGAUUUAGGUAUGAAGAGGAGAGCCACAACUAUGCUCCACAGCAGAGUUAUUCAGCUCCUACUCAUAUACCUCAACACCAGGACAUGUUGCCAAUGGAGUUAAAUGGUCCUCCAUUUGGUCAACCAACAUCUUCAACACAAGUGCCCACACAAGAUGACUUUGAUGAUAUAGGCAAGCUCACAUUGCUUGGUCUCGAGUUCACUUGGAGUGUCGAAGAUGAUCCAAUUAGGCCGGUGAUACUAGAGGAAAUGAAGAAGAUUAAGAGUGGAAAGGAGCUAGUGGAAGAAGUAAGGAAGAUUGAGAAGAACAUCAACGCUGGCAGUACUAUAUCAUCACAGUUUGAGUUGAGUGUGGCUGAGAUAUCCAUUGAUACAUGUGAGGUUCCAACACCUUCACAUUCAGCUGAGCAAGAUAGCGAGAGUCCAGAGGAAGAGAUACUUCAGAUCCAAGAAGAAAUUCUCGAAGCCAAGGCACAAGAUGAUCCAGAGCUCGAACAACAAAGUGAACAAGUUGAGGAUCCAAUGUCUACCACUCCCGAAGAAGUAAAAGAAGAUGCUGUAGAUGAAGAUGAAGAACCUGAGAUUCAUUUGCCUAUUGUCAUACCAGAGCAUGAUGUGUCAGGUUUAUCUAAUCCUCUUAAUGACAUGUCUUCAUAUGAUUUAUUUGCUUCUACCUUGCAUUACAUGAUGCCAUCACUUAAGAUUGAUUUGAAAAAUCAUUUACUUGGAUAUGAUGAUACAUACACUGUUGGUGGCAUUGCUCUCAUUUGUGAUGAUCACAGUUACUUUCCUCAUGCUAGUCUUGAGCUUAAUGAUAAAUGUCAUCCUCGUGUGAGUAUUGACCAUGCUGAUUUCUGCCAUCCUAAACAUGUGCUUUAUAGUUAUGCUUAUAUAAUUGGAUAUUCCAUUGAUGACUUGGAGGGAAUCGACUGUAUCACUUGUAGUUGUUUGUGUGAGUCCUUUUUCAGGUUCUUGCUUGUGCACGAAUCACUACAUGCUGACCAAGUUCGAGAUGACAUUCCUUGGGACCCCGGUGGGCCCAUGGCAUGGGGAUGAGGAGAAGCAAGGAGCACACACGAGGAAGGGAGAAGCUGGAGCAGGCAUGAGGAUAGAGAAGCAAAAGGAGAGGAGCUGCAGUUGGUGAGGUGAUCGAGCAAGUGCUACAUGAUCAAAGCCCGGUGAGAUGUUUCAUGACCCAUUCUGAAUGUCAUAAAUACAUGCUGAAUUCAAUUGCUAGUUGGGUUGCUUGAGCUAGUUAUUACUUGUUGUCAAGCUGAAAUUCACCUUCGGCAUUGUGCUUGAUGUGAAUUUGUGAACUUGAUUUCUGAAUGCCUUGUAAACUAGUGAUCUACACCAUGCAUGCUUUGCUGAAAUUUGUGGAAGUUAUUAGUUUUGAGUGCUCAAAUCCCUAGUACACUAGAAAACUUGAUCAUUUUCUGCUUUUACCUUGAUACACCUAGAUCACCAUGUUUAUAUGCUGAAUUUGUGCUAAGUGUGUUCCCAUUGAGAGCAAUCACCUAACCACUAUGGAUUAGCAUGUUAUGUUCCCUGGAUCGGUAGCAUGUGAACCAGACAUGGAGAAGUGAUGAUUCAUGUUUUUGUGCUUAUGCGUUGUCCAUUUAAGAUAAAUAAUAAUGAAUAAAUAAGUCUGGCUACCUAUAGUAGCAUGUCAUGUUCCCGGGAUCGGUGGCAUGUGAAAUCGGGUUAGCUUGGGCAAUAAUUAAUAAUAAUAAAAAUGUAAUUGUCGAACCAGGUGUAUACCAUGUUCUCGGGAUCGGUGGUAUGUUCCUUUGGGGAGACAAACAAUUUUUUUUAAUAAAAAUUGGUUGAGCCAGGUGUAUACCAUGUUCUCGGGAUUGGUGGUAUGUUCCUUCGGUGAGACUAAUAAAAUAAUAUGUGUGUUUCUUUCAAAUUCAAUAAGUGGUUCAACCACAAAGUCAUAUUUCUGCAAAUAAGAGAUUUAAUUCUAGUUCUUUUUGUUCUCGGGAUCAUGCUCUCUUUAGGAACCAUUUGGCGCAGUCAUCAUUUAAACUCGUUGAUCCUCUUUUAUCACUGUAAAAGUUUAAAAUGGUCAUGCUUACUAGUAUCCUACUGCUUUGUAGCACUCCUAACCAUUAAUUUUCACUAGCUAAGUCUGAAGCAUGCCUUGUUUGGAGAUCUAUUUUACCAGGACAUUCCUUACUCAGUUUACUGUUCAUUAUCUUGCCUUUGUCAUAUUCCUUUGCUUGAGGACAAGCAAAGAUUUAAGUGUGGGGGAACUUGAUAAGUGCAUUUCAUAUAUAUAAUUUGGCACUCAAAUUUAGCAUCUAUCGUGAUAUAUCCAUCCAUUCUUACUAUGAACUGUGAUAUAUUUGGAUGAAAAUCAUAUAAAAGAUCAUUUACUACUCAGUGGUUUGUUUUGCAGAAAAGUGCGAGAAGGCACUAUAAAUCUUCAUGAUUCCGACAUUGAGGAUAACUAUAAGAGUUAAGGGCAGGAAAGAAGAAGAGGAACAAUACAAGGAGCUAGAAGAGAUGAAGAAAGGACUUGGGUGAGAAGAAACGAAGUAAGCAGAGGGGCAAGUUAAAGGAGAGAGGGACCUUCUUGUGAAGGAAGAAGAAAAGGAGAAGGGCCAAUGUGCAAAUGGGCAGAUCUGAUCGGAGGGGAACAAAAUCCCUAGCGGCAUCCUUCUUUCUCCUUGGGCCUGGCAUCUCAUCUCACUCCUUCUCCCCUUCUUCUCCACCACCAGCCGCCGCCACAGCCAGGCCGGCGUGGUGGUGCACCUCCGCGCGCCACCAGCACCUCCACCAUCACCCUGCGCUUCCCAUCAAUCCAUCAUCCAACCCGCCAGCACCAACAUCCACCACGCACCACCACAUCCAACCACACCAUCCAUCGGCGCCGCCAGCCACAACCAUCUCCUUCCACCCAGCGCCAGCAACCUCCAUCCACCAGUGCAACCGCGCCUCCUCUCCCUGCUGCUUCCCCUUGCUACUCACGCCUCCUCUCCCUGCUGCUUCCCCUUCCUACUCAUGCCCUGGACCAGACAAGGGGAUCAUGGAGUCUGAUCCCUAGCGAACUUCCCUACUACUGCUCCUUUAUCUUCAACCUGCUGCUGCUCUUCUUUCCCCACGCCUCCGCUGCUCCUUCUCCAUCUCCGUGCUGCUGCUCUCUUCUUUCCUCACGCCUCUGCU
RNAcentral lists this long non-coding RNA (13885 nucleotides) under Triticum aestivum (bread wheat). Its description in RNAcentral is "long non-coding RNA (TAES_LNC008371)". The record is from RNAcentral. Lineage: Eukaryota; Viridiplantae; Streptophyta; Magnoliopsida; Poales; Poaceae.